RNAcentral lists this transfer RNA (69 nucleotides) under Schistosoma mansoni. Lineage: Eukaryota; Metazoa; Platyhelminthes; Trematoda; Strigeidida; Schistosomatidae. The record is from RNAcentral.
ACUUAGUAGGUGAGUGGAUAAUGUGAUGGCGUUUGAAGCGAAUGGUACUGGGUUCGAGUCCCAGAGUUA